UCAGAGUUUGAUCCUGGCUCAGUGUGAAAAACUCCGGUGGUAUGAGAUGGACCCGCGUUGGAUUAGCUUGUUGGUGGGGUAACGGCCCACCAAGGCGACGAUCCAUAGCCGGCCUGAGAGGGUGAACGGCCACAUUGGGACUGAGACACGGCCCAGACUCCUACGGGAGGCAGCAUG
Molecule: ribosomal RNA, 177 nt
Filed under: uncultured bacterium
Lineage: Bacteria
Description: partial 16S ribosomal RNA
Rfam family: Bacterial small subunit ribosomal RNA
Source: RNAcentral